RNAcentral lists this transfer RNA (89 nucleotides) under Adineta vaga. RNAcentral's name for it is "tRNA-Tyr for anticodon GUA". It matches the Rfam family "tRNA". From Rfam's summary of the family: Transfer RNA (tRNA) molecules are approximately 80 nucleotides in length. Their secondary structure includes four short double-helical elements and three loops (D, anti-codon, and T loops). The record is from RNAcentral. Lineage: Eukaryota; Metazoa; Rotifera; Eurotatoria; Adinetida; Adinetidae.
CCCGCGAUAGCUCAGUUGGUAGAGCGGAAGACUGUAGAUGAGAAAUAACUGUAAUCUUUAGGUCACUGGUUCGACUCCGGUUCGCGGGA